Tulasnella sp. UAMH 9824 is the source of this 91-nucleotide non-coding RNA. NCBI's taxonomy places the organism in Eukaryota, Fungi, Basidiomycota, Agaricomycetes, Cantharellales, Tulasnellaceae. The record is from the annotation of a GenBank genome assembly.
GGGGUUCUAGCUCAUCGGUAGAGCGCUCGCUUCGCAUUCCAACCGUGGAAAAGCCUGCGAGAGGCGGAGGGUUCGAUUCCCUCGUGCUCCA